CAGGAGGAUACCAUGAGAAGAUGGCUUUCUGCAAACCAGAAGGUGGGCUUUCACCAGACACUGAGUCUGCUUGCACCUUGAUCUCAGACUUCUCAGCUUCUGGAACUCAACCCACCACCUGAUGAGCUGCCCAUUGGAGAGGCCAAUAUGACAAAGGGCUGAGGGUAGCCUAUCUCCAGCAACCUAAAAGAAGUUGAGCCUUCAGUUCAAGAGCCCAGGAGAAAUCAUAUCUUGCCAGCAGUCAUGCUGCCCAGUGCUUUGGAUGACGCUGAGCAGAGUCCCUGGUCGCCGCUGGAUGCAGUCAUUUCUCCUCGUCAUUGCAAUCAGAAAAUGUCUCCAGACAUUGCCCACUGAUCUCCGGGGGCCAAAAUCAUCCCUGAUGGAGAACCACUGCUCUAAAACCAACCAAACAAAAGUUGGUAAAGAAAUCUGGGAACCUG
Molecule: long non-coding RNA, 440 nt
Organism: Canis lupus familiaris (dog)
Lineage: Eukaryota; Metazoa; Chordata; Mammalia; Carnivora; Canidae
Exons: 3
Source: RefSeq, a predicted model, not a curated record